This 460-nucleotide ribosomal RNA is filed under the name uncultured bacterium. RNAcentral describes it as "partial 16S ribosomal RNA". It matches the Rfam family "Bacterial small subunit ribosomal RNA", at positions 338 to 795 of the family's 1533-position model. The record is from RNAcentral.
CCUACGGGAGGCUGCAGUGAGGAAUAUUGGUCAAUGGGCGUAAUCCUGAACCAGCCAAGCCGCGUGCGGGAUGAAGGUUCUACGGAUCGUAAACCUCUUUUAUAACGGGAUAAAGUGUGUGACGUGUCCUAUUUUGUAUGUACCUUAUGAAUAAGGAUCGGCUAACUCCGUGCCAGCAGCCGCGGUAAUACGGAGGAUCCGAGCGUUAUCCGGAUUUAUUGGGUUUAAAGGGUGCGUAGGUGGUCUUUUAAGUCAGCGGUGAAAGUCCGAGGCUCAACAAUAGAAUUGCCGUUGAUACUGGCGUUCUUGAGAGGGGUAGAAGUAGGCGGAAGGUGUAGUGUAGCGGUGAAAUGCAUAGAUAUCACACAGAACUCCGAUUGCGAAGGCAGCAUACUAGGGCCCAACUGACACUGAAGCACGAAAGCGUGGGGAGCGAACAGGAUUAGAUACCCGAGUAGUC